RNAcentral lists this ribosomal RNA (253 nucleotides) under uncultured bacterium. RNAcentral describes it as "partial 16S ribosomal RNA". It matches the Rfam family "Bacterial small subunit ribosomal RNA", at positions 524 to 776 of the family's 1533-position model. The record is from RNAcentral.
UACGUAGGGUGCAAGCGUUGUCCGGAAUUAUUGGGCGUAAAGAGCUCGUAGGCGGUUCGUCGCGUCGGCUGUGAAAUCCCGAGGCUCAACCUCGGGUCUGCAGUCGAUACGGGCGGACUGGAGUACUGCAGGGGAGACUGGAAUUCCUGGUGUAGCGGUGAAAUGCGCAGAUAUCAGGAGGAACACCGGUGGCGAAGGCGGGUCUCUGGGCAGAUACUGACGCUGAGGAGCGAAAGCGUGGGGAGCGAACAGG